CGCCCCUCCCCCCGAGAGGCGGGCGGCGGGCGGGGAGGAGAGUUGGGCGGGGGAGGGGACGCAGGCCGGGGAGGGGGCGGCGAGGAGCGCGGAAGAGGGGCGAGACGGGCCCCCGGCGCCGCCGGCCGGUCAGGGAGCGGCGGGGCGCGUCUGCAGCCGGCCGAGCGGCCUCCCGCGCGCCGGGGCCCCGCGCCCGCCGCCGCUGCUUCUGCUGCUGCCGCUGCCCGCCGCCUGCGUGCGCUCCAGCCGCGCCCGCAUCCUCGGGGCGCCGCGCCCGGCCCGCUCCCUAGGGCGCCCGCCCGCGCCGCCGCCGCCGCCGCCGCCGGGCCUCGCGCCGACUCAGGGGCCGAGCCGGCCGGUCGCGGGACCCCCGGCGCCGGCGAGCCGCAUUCCGACACAGGAGGGCCGGCCCGGCUGCCGCUCGCCCAGCGCCGCGUUCCUCGGCGGCUGCUCCGCGAGCCGCGGAGCUGAGAUGCACCUGUUCUUCAGCCGGCCCGCAGCCAACCCUCGGCCAGCACUCUCCGGGAGAGACCAAUCCGAGCGCAGCGCGGAGGGCGAGCGGCCGGCUCGCCUCGCUCCCGCCGCCCGCAGCUCCGCGCCGCCGCCGCCGCCCGAGAGUCCAAACUCCUGAGAGCCGCGCCGCCGCCGCCGCCGGCCGGGAACCUGGGGCGCCUGGCCCUACCGCCGAGGGACCCCAACGGGAGGGCAAAGGGUUGCAGAUCAGGCCCGGGCGCCGCGGCCUGGAGGAGCGUGGGGAGGAGGAGCCGGGAGACCGCGUCGGGGGAUCCCGGGCCGGAGGCGGCUCCAGGCGGGCGCGGGUGUGUGCGGAACCGCGGCGCACGGGCUGCGAUUCGGGCGGAGUGGCGCCUCCCACCAGCACCCAAUGGUGGUUUCUUAAUGCGCACAAGAUAAAUAAAUGAGCCAAGCAACACCACCACCGCCACCCCCCGCCGCCGCUCCUCGAUGGAGCUGUGUGGCCAAAGCGGCUCUGGACCGAUUGUGGGUCCUUGGGGUCGUAGCCUGUCGCUGCUGGGCCAGGGAGCCGGGCGGGCGCCUGGCUGUGGUGCGGCUGGAGGGAGAGCUGCCUUUGGCGCCCGGUUCCCGAGGAGCUGCUUAGGGAGGAAAGCUGGGAACCUUUGUGCAGUCCUACCCGCCAGAUGCCGCCAAGCCAUUUAUAACUUACCUUACCUCCCCGUCCCCACCCCCACUCCACCCCACCCCCAGAAAAGCACUGUCUUUAGUUAUGGGUGCUCCCACAACUACACACGUCACAAGGCAAGUGCUUGUGAGAGGUACAAUGUUAUAGGCAGUGGGGUAGAGAGCCCACGGUCGGCUCUCUGUUUCUUCCCUUGCACUGGGAGGCACCUGUGUAGCUCUGUCUCUCAGGUGUGGAGUGGUGCUUGUCUGGGGGCCCCUGCUGCGCAGAGAGCAAGCCAGGAGCGUGGAGCCGGGAUCAGCAUAGUCUAUGCUGAUGGUGCAAAAACUCGCUCGCCAACUGCGCGGAUUUGCUGCUCCAAAGUGGAAACCAACAACGAGGUGGAGAGCCAAGCGGUACUCUGCAGAGAAUGCAUUGGAUCAGGAAGCCCCUGGGGUUUUGGUGCCUACUAGAAUGUACAGACACGGUUAAUAAAUAAUUUUUGAUGGCAGUCA
This 1650-nucleotide long non-coding RNA is filed under the name Oryctolagus cuniculus (rabbit). RNAcentral's name for it is "lncRNA (ENSOCUG00000032078.1)". Lineage: Eukaryota; Metazoa; Chordata; Mammalia; Lagomorpha; Leporidae. The record is from RNAcentral.